RNAcentral lists this ribosomal RNA (229 nucleotides) under Citrobacter koseri. RNAcentral describes it as "partial 16S ribosomal RNA". It matches the Rfam family "Bacterial small subunit ribosomal RNA", at positions 1 to 226 of the family's 1533-position model. The record is from RNAcentral. Lineage: Bacteria; Pseudomonadati; Pseudomonadota; Gammaproteobacteria; Enterobacterales; Enterobacteriaceae.
AAAUUGAAGAGUUUGAUCAUGGCUCAGAUUGAACGCUGGCGGCAGGCCUAACACAUGCAAGUCGAACGGUAACAGGAAGCAGCUUGCUGCUUUGCUGACGAGUGGCGGACGGGUGAGUAAUGUCUGGGAAACUGCCUGAUGGAGGGGGAUAACUACUGGAAACGGUAGCUAAUACCGCAUAACGUCGCAAGACCAAAGAGGGGGACCUUCGGGCCUCUUGCCAUCAGAU